RNAcentral lists this small RNA (27 nucleotides) under Bombyx mori (domestic silkworm). RNAcentral describes it as "piRNA piR-bmo-1446953". Lineage: Eukaryota; Metazoa; Arthropoda; Insecta; Lepidoptera; Bombycidae. The record is from RNAcentral.
UAGUAUGCCCGUUGAUGUUGUCGUGUC